GCACCAGAAGUAGAUAGCUUAACCUUCGGGAGGGCGUUUACCACGGUGUGAUUCAUGACUGGGGUGAAGUCGUAACAAGGUAACCCUAGGGGAACCUGGGGUUGGAUCACCUCCUUA
RNAcentral lists this ribosomal RNA (117 nucleotides) under Aeromonas hydrophila. RNAcentral's name for it is "partial 16S ribosomal RNA". It matches the Rfam family "Bacterial small subunit ribosomal RNA", at positions 1417 to 1533 of the family's 1533-position model. RNAcentral also lists the same sequence under 10 other names. Lineage: Bacteria; Pseudomonadati; Pseudomonadota; Gammaproteobacteria; Aeromonadales; Aeromonadaceae. The record is from RNAcentral.